UACGUAGGGGGCGAGCGUUGUCCGGAAUCAUUGGGCGUAAAGAGCUCGUAGGCGGUUCAGUAAGUCAGGUGUGAAAGCUCCGAGCUCAACUCGGAGAGGCCACCUGAUACUGCUGUGACUAGAAUCCAGUAGGGGAGUGUGGAACUCCUGGUGUAGCGGUGAAAUGCGCAGAUAUCAGGAAGAACACCAGCGGCGAAGGCGGCACUCUGGGCUGGAAUUGACGCUGAGGAACGAAAGCCAGGGGAGCAAACGGG
RNAcentral lists this ribosomal RNA (254 nucleotides) under uncultured bacterium. RNAcentral describes it as "partial 16S ribosomal RNA". It matches the Rfam family "Bacterial small subunit ribosomal RNA", at positions 524 to 776 of the family's 1533-position model. The record is from RNAcentral.